UAGGGAAUCUUCCGCAAUGGGCGAAAGCCUGACGGAGCAACGCCGCGUGAGUGAUGAAGGUCUUCGGAUCGUAAAACUCUGUUAUUAGGGAAGAACAAAUGUGUAAGUAACUAUGCACGUCUUGACGGUACCUAAUCAGAAAGCCACGGCUAACUACGUGCCAGCAGCCGCGGUAAUACGUAGGUGGCAAGCGUUAUCCGGAAUUAUUGGGCGUAAAGCGCGCGUAGGCGGUUUUUUAAGUCUGAUGUGAAAGCCCACGGCUCAACCGUGGAGGGUCAUUGGAAACUGGAAAACUUGAGUGCAGAAGAGGAAAGUGGAAUUCCAUGUGAAGCGGUGAAAUGCGCAGAGAUAUGGAGGAACACCAGUGGCGAAGGCGACUUUCUGGUCUGUAACUGACGCUGAUGUGCGAAAGCGUGGGGAUCAAACAGG
This 429-nucleotide ribosomal RNA is filed under the name Actinomycetes bacterium. RNAcentral describes it as "Actinobacteria bacterium partial 16S ribosomal RNA". It matches the Rfam family "Bacterial small subunit ribosomal RNA", at positions 355 to 776 of the family's 1533-position model. The record is from RNAcentral. Lineage: Bacteria; Bacillati; Actinomycetota; Actinomycetes.